CUUAGACCGACCGGUCCACCAAAGCAGAGAGCGCAUAAACCGCGGGGACGUCCGCGUCCCGCAGAGUGAUGAAUUAAGGAAAGAGGCUCGCCAGCUGAAGAAGGAGCUCCAGGCCAUAAAACAAAGGAAAGAAGAACGCUUGAACCCCAAAGCAGAAGAAACCAAGGAGGAAGAAGAUCAGAAGCCGACCAAUGAGGCGGUGGCUGAGUAUCUGGAGGGACGAAAAAAAUACGAGGAGCUGAAGACAAAGAAGCAGAAGAAAGGUUCUGGCAGAGAGCAGCAGGUAACAUGAAUUCAUUUAGGUCAGCUGCUUCUAACAGAAGCAAAAAUAACAGCAAUAAACCAUCUUCCACCUCAGUCUUUGUCAUUUAACUAUUCUUC
This 381-nucleotide long non-coding RNA is filed under the name Oryzias javanicus (javanese ricefish). Its description in RNAcentral is "lncRNA (ENSOJAG00000007491.1)". The record is from RNAcentral. Lineage: Eukaryota; Metazoa; Chordata; Actinopteri; Beloniformes; Adrianichthyidae.